AGCUCCAAUAGCGUAUAUUAAAGUUGUUGCAGUUAAAAAGCUCGUAGUUGGAUUUCUGAAUUGAAUGUCCGGUCCGCUUAUCUCAGAUGAGUGUGUACUUUAGAUAUUUGGUUCAUUUUUUGUGAGGAUAUUUAUCUGUCAUUAAGUUGAUGGAUUUAUAGACUUGCAUCAUUUACUGUGAAAAAAUUAGAGUGUUUAAAGCAGGCGUUUGCCCAUUUGAAUACAUUAGCAUGGAAUAAUAAGAUAUGACUUUGGUGGUCUAUUUUGUUGGUUUGCACACCAGAGUAAUGAUUAAUAGGGACAGUUGGGGGUAUUCAUAUUUCAACGUCAGAGGUGAAAUUCUUAGAUCGUUGAAAGAUGAGCUUAGGCGAAAGCAUUUACCAUGGAUGUUUUCAUUAAU
This 400-nucleotide ribosomal RNA is filed under the name phytoplankton environmental sample. Its description in RNAcentral is "partial small subunit ribosomal RNA". It matches the Rfam family "Eukaryotic small subunit ribosomal RNA", at positions 587 to 977 of the family's 1831-position model. The record is from RNAcentral.